UGAGGAAUAUUGGUCAAUGGGCGAGAGCCUGAACCAGCCAAGUAGCGUGCAGGAUGACGGCCCUAUGGGUUGUAAACUGCUUUUGUAUGGGGAUAAAGUCAGUCACGUGUGAUUGUUUGCAGGUACCAUACGAAUAAGGACCGGCUAAUUCCGUGCCAGCAGCCGCGGUAAUACGGAAGGUCCGGGCGUUAUCCGGAUUUAUUGGGUUUAAAGGGAGCGUAGGCUGGAGAUUAAGUGUGUUGUGAAAUGUAGACGCUCAACGUCUGACUUGUAGCGCAUACUGGUUUCCUUGAGUACGCACAACGUUGGCGGAAUUCGUCGUGUAGCGGUGAAAUGCUUAGAUAUGACGAAGAACUCCGAUUGCGAAGGCAGCUGACGGGAGCGCAACUGACGCUGAAGCUCGAAGGUGCGGGUAUCGAACAGGAUUAGAUACCCUGGUAGUCCGCACAGUAAACGAUGGAUGCCCGCUGUUGGUACCUGGUAUCAGCGGCUAAGCGAAAGCAUUAAGCAUCCCACCUGGGGAGUACGCCGGCACGGU
RNAcentral lists this ribosomal RNA (538 nucleotides) under uncultured bacterium. Its description in RNAcentral is "bacterial SSU rRNA". It matches the Rfam family "Bacterial small subunit ribosomal RNA", at positions 355 to 895 of the family's 1533-position model. The record is from RNAcentral.